CCUACGGGGGGCAGCAGUGGGGAAUAUUGCGCAAUGGGCGAAAGCCUGACGCAGCGACGCCGCGUGAGGGAUGACGGCCUUCGGGUUGUAAACCUCUUUCAGCGCCGACGAAGCCUCCUUCGGGGGUGACGGUAGGCGCAGAAGAAGCACCGGCUAACUACGUGCCAGCAGCCGCGGUAAUACGUAGGGUGCGAGCGUUGUCCGGAAUUAUUGGGCGUAAAGAGCUCGUAGGCGGCCUGUCGCGUCGGAUGUGAAAACCCACGGCUCAACCGUGGGCCUGCAUCCGGUACGGGCAGGCUAGAGUUCGGCAGGGGAGACUGGAAUUCCUGGUGUAGCGGUGAAAUGCGCAGAUAUCAGGAGGAACACCGGUGGCGAAGGCGGGUCUCUGGGCCGACACUGACGCUGAGGAGCGAAAGCGUGGGGAGCGAACAGGAUUAGAU
Molecule: ribosomal RNA, 440 nt
Filed under: uncultured bacterium
Lineage: Bacteria
Description: bacterial SSU rRNA
Rfam family: Bacterial small subunit ribosomal RNA
Source: RNAcentral